Molecule: transfer RNA, 69 nt
Filed under: Bos taurus (domestic cattle)
Lineage: Eukaryota; Metazoa; Chordata; Mammalia; Artiodactyla; Bovidae
Also listed under: 2 other names
Rfam family: tRNA
About the family: Transfer RNA (tRNA) molecules are approximately 80 nucleotides in length. Their secondary structure includes four short double-helical elements and three loops (D, anti-codon, and T loops).
Source: Rfam by way of RNAcentral
CCUGGUGGCUCAGAGGGUAAAGCAUCUGCCUGUAAUGCAGGAGACCUGGGUUCAAUUCCUUGGUCAGGA